CCUAGCAUGGCAUAGUGGCUUGAGUGUUGGACUACAACUCUGGAGACCAGGGUUCGAUUCCCAGCUUGGC
This is a non-coding RNA of Phrynosoma platyrhinos (Desert horned lizard), 70 nucleotides long. The record is from the annotation of a GenBank genome assembly. NCBI's taxonomy places the organism in Eukaryota, Metazoa, Chordata, Lepidosauria, Squamata, Phrynosomatidae.